AGCUGCCUUCCUGUUCCCUCAUCCUUAGCCUAACACCUUCCCCUCCUUCUGCUAAGGAUCCGUCUUUCCCUGCUCUGCAGAGUGUUGGGGAGCACUCCCUGACCUUUCCCUGCGGGGCAGGAAUGCCUAUAAAUCUAUGUGGACGUCUCAGGGGACCGGGUCCAACCUCCAUUGGCUUUCUGGCCCUAGACACAGGCAGGGGGCAAGGAGUGUCGGGGAAGAAAGCUCUCGUGGAUGUUGAUGACCUUUCUGUGGUCUGGGGUUUAGUGGUUUCCUUGGGUGGAUCUCAGUGUCUGAGAAGGCUGACAGGGCCUGAGCCCCAGGCAUGUGAUCACAGCAGGAGGGCUGGGUCCUCGGGCCACGCAGGGAGGGGGGCCUGGAGGGCUGAGAAGCCAGAGAGGUCAGAGCUCCAUUCCGGGGCUUCGCCUCAGCGGCCCACGGGGUCUGGCCGCUCUCUGCGGGUCACCUCGCUCCUUUCCGGACUUCUCCCAGAAGCGCCACUCUCACCCAUCCCGCCCCCAUUCCAGAAUCUCCGCCUUGACUCUAGGUUACCUCGCGAGUUCUUUGGGGUGCUCGCUUCUUUCCAGAACGGCUUGUUCCAGCACGUCUGGGCGACCUAGCAGGGCCAGACGGCCAUGGAGGCAGCCCUCAUGUCCGUGCUGGACCAGGAUGGAGGGGUCCGCAUGUUGUGGGUGCCUGUGUGAAACCAGGAGGAGGUAGAAAUUCACAUCCCCAUCACCUUCAAUCCGAGCAUUUUGACAUUUCCGUGGCAACCAAAGACAGGCCCCUAUCAGUACACAGUUCAGUGGUCGGAGACAAGUUAAAAUCCGGGAGUUUUUAUGCUUUUUCUCUUUUGUGGGGUUCCUAUCACAUCAUUGCAUUUUGGGAAUCAGAAAAACAAAACAACCCAGCAUGUCAGACCAGGAAGCAAAAUAAAGAAACCCUGGCACACAGAUUUA
Molecule: long non-coding RNA, 959 nt
Organism: Suricata suricatta (meerkat)
Lineage: Eukaryota; Metazoa; Chordata; Mammalia; Carnivora; Herpestidae
Exons: 3
Source: RefSeq, a predicted model, not a curated record